GACUCUCUGGUCUGUAAUUGACGCUGAGGCUCGAAGCGUGGGAGCAAACAGGAUUAGAUACCUGGUAGUCCACGCCGUAAACGAUGAGUGCUAAGUGUUGGAGGGUUCCGCCUUUCAGUGCUGCAGUUAACGCAUUAAGCACUCCGCUGGGGAGUACGGCCGCAAGGCUGAAACUCAAAGGAAUUGACGGGGGCCCGCACAAGCGGUGGAGCAUGUGGUUUAAUUCGAAGCAACGCGAAGAACCUUACCAGGUCUUGACAUCCUUUGACCACUCUAGAGAUAGAGCUUUCCCUUCGGGGACAAAGUGACAGGUGGUGCAUGGUUGUCGUCAGCUCGUGUCGUGAGAUGUUGGGUUAAGUCCCGCAACGAGCGCAACCCUUAUUGUUAGUUGCCAUCAUUCAGUUGGGCACUCUAGCGAGACUGCCGGUGACAAACCGGAGGAAGGUGGGGAUGACGUCAAAUCAUCAUGCCCCUUAUGACCUGGGCUACACACGUGCUACAAUGGACGGUACAAUGAGUCGCGAGACCGCGAGGUUUAGCUAAUCUCUUAAAGCCGUUCUCAGUUCGGAUUGUAGGCUGCAACUCGCCUACAUGAAGCCGGAAUCGCUAGUAAUCGUGGAUCAGCACGCCACGGUGAAUACGUUCCCGGGCCUUGUACACACCGCCCGUCACACCACGAGAGUUUGUAACACCCAAAGUCGGUGAGGUAACCUUUUGGAGCCAGCCGCCUAAGGUGGGAUAGAUGAUUGGGGUGAAGUCGUAACAAGGUAACCA
RNAcentral lists this ribosomal RNA (774 nucleotides) under uncultured Vagococcus sp. RNAcentral describes it as "bacterial SSU rRNA". It matches the Rfam family "Bacterial small subunit ribosomal RNA", at positions 723 to 1502 of the family's 1533-position model. The record is from RNAcentral. Lineage: Bacteria; Bacillati; Bacillota; Bacilli; Lactobacillales; Enterococcaceae.